RNAcentral lists this transfer RNA (62 nucleotides) under Platerodrilus sp. UPOL 000589. RNAcentral's name for it is "tRNA-Phe". The record is from RNAcentral. Lineage: Eukaryota; Metazoa; Arthropoda; Insecta; Coleoptera; Lycidae.
UAUUUUAAAGAAUAAUCUUCGUUAAUGUCUUCAGCAUCAUACUCUAUAUAAGCUAUUAAAAU